UGAACGCUGGCGGCAUGCUUUACACAUGCAAGUCGAACGGUAACAGGCCGCAAGGUGCUGACGAGUGGCGAACGGGUGAGUAAUGCAUCGGAACGUGCCCAGUCGUGGGGGAUAACUACUCGAAAGAGUAGCUAAUACCGCAUACGAUCUAUGGAUGAAAGCGGGGGACCGUAAGGCCUCGCGCGAUUGGAGCGGCCGAUGUCAGAUUAGGUAGUUGGUGGGGUAAAGGCUCACCAAGCCAACGAUCUGUAGCUGGUCUGAGAGGACGACCAGCCACACUGGGACUGAGACACGGCCCAGACUCCUACGGGAGGCAGCAGUGGGGAAUUUUGGACAAUGGGCGCAAGCCUGAUCCAGCAAUGCCGCGUGCAGGAAGAAGGCCUUCGGGUUGUAAACUGCUUUUGUACGGAACGAAACGGCUCUGGUUAAUACCCGGGGCUAAUGACGGUACCGUAAGAAUAAGCACCGGCUAACUACGUG
Molecule: ribosomal RNA, 480 nt
Filed under: uncultured bacterium
Lineage: Bacteria
Description: partial 16S ribosomal RNA
Rfam family: Bacterial small subunit ribosomal RNA
Source: RNAcentral